UCCGGUUUGUCACCGGCAGUCUCAUUAGAGUGCUCUUGCGUAGCAACUAAUGACAAGGGUUGCGCUCGUUGCGGGACUUAACCCAACAUCUCACGACACGAGCUGACGACAGCCAUGCAGCACCUGUGUUCCGGUUCUCUUGCGAGCACGGCCAAAUCUCUUCGGCUUUCCAGACAUGUCAAGGGUAGGUAAGGUUUUUCGCGUUGCAUCGAAUUAAUCCACAUCAUCCACCGCUUGUGCGGGUCCCCGUCAAUUCCUUUGAGUUUUAAUCUUGCGACCGUACUCCCCAGGCGGUCAACUUCACGCGUUAGCUGCGCUACUGAAGCCUAACGGCCCCAACAGCUAGUUGACAUCGUUUAGGGCGUGGACUAC
Molecule: unclassified non-coding RNA, 372 nt
Filed under: uncultured Gammaproteobacteria bacterium
Lineage: Bacteria; Pseudomonadati; Pseudomonadota; Gammaproteobacteria
Description: contains 16S-23S intergenic spacer region
Source: RNAcentral